Molecule: transfer RNA, 99 nt
Organism: Punctularia strigosozonata HHB-11173 SS5
Lineage: Eukaryota; Fungi; Basidiomycota; Agaricomycetes; Corticiales; Punctulariaceae
Rfam family: tRNA
About the family: Transfer RNA (tRNA) molecules are approximately 80 nucleotides in length. Their secondary structure includes four short double-helical elements and three loops (D, anti-codon, and T loops).
Source: Rfam
GCCCGCCUAGCUCAAUCGGAUAGAGCGUCAGACUCUUAAGAGCACCUGAUAGGUGGGCAGUUAAUCUGAAGGCUGCGAGUUCGACCCUCGCGGUGGGCU